Molecule: long non-coding RNA, 899 nt
Organism: Megachile rotundata (alfalfa leafcutting bee)
Lineage: Eukaryota; Metazoa; Arthropoda; Insecta; Hymenoptera; Megachilidae
Source: RefSeq, a predicted model, not a curated record
GCGAGAAAGAGUUUACCACGCUCGAGGGAUACAUUUGGGGGUAGAUAUACGUACGUAUGCACGUACGCGGUAUCAUUGACACUGACUACGCCGCCCAGUAGGCCAUGCCGUACCAUCGAGCUGCCUUGCUUGCAGCUGCACGGGACACUAGGCAAUUCCACGGUCUAGCCGACCGCGAAUGCUACGGAUCUGAGCGCUUCAUUUUCCACGCGGACUGUACUACUAGGUACGCAUUGCUAUCGUCCUCCACGACACAUGACCAACUUGACUUUAACUUUCCAUUUUUACGAAUCUUGUCGUUUGUACUUUCAAAGAAUUAUUGCAGCUUUCAUUUUAUGUAGGUUAUUUUUAUUAUACGUCUGCAUUAGCAAGGUGAGUUCCAUCUACAAUGACAAUUCGUACUGAUUUUAUCAAUACCGUACUAAUUUUUAAACAUCCGUACUGAUUUCGAACAUUUAAAUGUACCUCGGACAUUUAUUAUUUAGGAGGGCUGAAAAAAUGUGUUAUACAUUCAACCCUGGAAGAUUAAUUAAAAAUUUUAGAAAUUUGGAAAAUCAUCAAACUGCACGACUGUCGUAAAUUAUUGCAAUGGAAUUUGAUAGACAACGAGAAAUAAGGGAAGGAUUAGUACUUUGGAUUAAAGAUCUCCGCUCCUAAUAAAUAAUAAGGGAUCGACAAAUGUUCCAAUAGCUGCCGCCAUCUAGCCAUUGCGUCUAAUAUUAUAAAUUAUACGGAAUUUAGUUUCACGAUGUAAACUACAUGCCGCGCAUGCGCCGAUAAUUUAAGUAAAUUUAAAAUCAAGUUUACCGCGGAGUACAAGAAACAUUCUAUGUAUACUAAUUACCGUGUAACCGUACUUCGAUGUUCGAUCCACACCACUAUAUAAGAGUGUUGCGUGG